Molecule: small RNA, 295 nt
Filed under: Limosilactobacillus equigenerosi DSM 18793 = JCM 14505
Lineage: Bacteria; Bacillati; Bacillota; Bacilli; Lactobacillales; Lactobacillaceae
Description: Lactobacillus equigenerosi DSM 18793 = JCM 14505 5' ureB small RNA
Rfam family: 5' ureB small RNA
Source: Rfam by way of RNAcentral
CAUGUGUCAAAUAUGGUGACAAAUAGUGUACGUGGAGAUCAAUUCCACCUGCCGUCACAAUCAUUCCUUCACCGGAAAUUGCUUCAGUGCUGGCUCCGACAACAAAAUCAAUCUUAUCCAUUAAGUCUGGAUUUCCACCCUUCCCAAUUGCUAAGAUCUUACCGUCACGAAUCCCAAUAUCAGCUUUAUAAAUCCCAGUGUAAUCAAUGAUUGUAGCAUCAGAAAUAAUCGUGUCAGCAACUAAUGGGUUAUUUUCACGAGUUUCCGUAGCAUUAACUCCCAUGCCAUCACGAAG